UAGAUCUGCAAUCAUUAAUUUUACUCAAAUUUACUGUUGUGAACUUGCAAUAUCCUACGAUGCGCGUACCGAGUUAUCUCCCUUUGAUCUCCGCUUCGCCACGAAUAAACUGACACAAUUGCGUAUCCGGGGUUUUUGUGAUCUGAUAUUGUUAUAUUAGGAGCAAAAAAUGGUUUUACUUCAUAUUUUAUACCCCUCAACACGUUACCAAACCUAUUUAAGGAUUUAUUAAGGAUUUUCCGUGGACCUACGCAAAUUUUCAGAAAAAAAGUUUCACUUCAGUCGUGAAUUUAUAACAUUUUAACAAUACUUUUUUAUUAUAAUUAUAUAAAAUAAGAAAGCUUAUUCAAUCUAGAAUUGAACACUUUGGUUUUUAUUAAUGUACGAGUACAAAUAAGACGAUACGAGUCCAAAAACCACGAGGCAUGCACGUUUACCAAAAAAUCGUAAACUCUGACCUUUUAUCACGUGACCAAUGUCUUGAACUUAGAAGCCAUUAAAUCGUUUGCCGUUCAACUGUUUUGUUUCUGAAAUGAUGAUUUAAUUUCGUCUUUGUCCGUGCAUCCCCUUUUUUUUACUGUAAAUUACUAGACAAUGUCAUGCGUAGUUUAUAACAGCUGAGCAAUAAUAUUUCAUCGAACUAAAAUUUUAGAAAUGAUGAUAAAAUAGCAUAACAAACAUAUUGCUAGAACAAACAUAUUGCUAGAAAGGUGAAAUAUAUAUUGAUUUUGCAUAUUUUUUUGUCUUCAAAGAUGAUUUUUUUUCUUUUUUUUUUUUCCCGACCGACCGACCCGACUUUUUCAUGGGGAAAAUCCGUAAACCAACAAAUUAAAAAACCGUGGCCUUAG
This 848-nucleotide long non-coding RNA is filed under the name Mytilus galloprovincialis (Mediterranean mussel). Lineage: Eukaryota; Metazoa; Mollusca; Bivalvia; Mytilida; Mytilidae. The record is from RNAcentral.